This 8153-nucleotide long non-coding RNA is filed under the name Gossypium barbadense (sea-island cotton). RNAcentral's name for it is "long non-coding RNA (GBAR_LNC000483)". The record is from RNAcentral. Lineage: Eukaryota; Viridiplantae; Streptophyta; Magnoliopsida; Malvales; Malvaceae.
ACACCGUCUAUGAAGUUUUUAAAAUUCCACAAACAAAUUGAAGAUACUACAUGUGUCUUGUAAGGUGUAGUGGGCCAAAUUUGCCCGGCCCGAAUAAAAACAAUAAAUGAUAUAAAAAUCUAGAUAUCAAUAGUCCAUUAUUUACAACCCAAAAUCAAACCAAAUUAACCCCAAUGUUUCAAGACCCAAAUUACAAAUCCAUUUACAAAAUGACAUAGCCCAAUACCCCAAACGGCCCAGAAACUGAGCCCCAUUUUGGCAAACCCUAGGGCAAGGGUCUCCUUGUGCCGCAGCCCUCACUAGCAGCCAAACCACAUUGCGCCAGACAACGCCUCCAACAGCACCAGCGCACAGCCCUCGUACGCCACGCCCGUACCUCCGUACGAUGCCAGCAGACUCCGUACCUGCGAAAAAGACACACAGAACAGCAGCGAAUAGGGAAGAAGAAAAUAGCAUUUUCAUUUUUUGAUUUUUCUUUCUUUUCGGCUAUAAAGGCCAUGUAAUAGCCUAGGUGAGUUUUUUACGCAACAUAAACGCACAAUAGGCCAUACAGACACAAUCAAUACAUUUUGAAAUACAAAAAAGCAACGAGCAUUCGAAGGUGAUUCCGAUUCAUAAUUUCUGAGAUUUUUUCCUUUUCUUCUUGGCUUAGUUUCAUUCUCCCUGGAAUUUCUUUUUGUUCUUUCGCAUUUUGGGUUGUAUAAAAGAGAGAGGAAAUGAAAUCUUACCCCGUGAAUACGCCGUGAGAUAUCCUCUGAUUCGUUGAAAUCGGGGUCCGAGAGGAGUAUAAGGCGGAAAGAAAACCAUCUUGAGGCUCGAACAGGCCGAUCUCCAUUCAUUGCGGUGGAUUGGCAUGGCAGAUGGAGGGUCAAGGUUCGUUUGAGGGGAGUAAAAAUGGAGGCUAGGGUUUGGAGGUGCUGGCUUAAUCUGCUGAUUGAGCCAUUUUAUAGGACCUCAAACUGUGUCGCAUUGACAUCAAAGCCCGACCCGAUUCGAUUCCAAACCCGAUGACCCGCGUGUUUUUGCGGUGAGGGACUAUUUGCACAUUAAAUCCCUCCCUUUUGCGCCACGUUUAAAUCAAUCCAUAUUUUUAUUCCAUUUCUUUUAAUUUAGGCUUGUAUUUUGAGCUCAUUUGCAAUGGGGUCCGCACAUGUACACAGCGUUUUGGGAGUCUGGAAUAAUUUCAGUUUUGAUCCUUGCAUAUUCGUAUACAUUAUGCGCUGGCCCUUAUCUGUAUUUACAAAUUAUCCUUCCAUUUUAACGUGGUUUCAAUUAGACCCUCUCUUUUAUGUGAUUUCAAUUAUUUUUUUUAGAUUCACCUCAUGUUUUAUUUUAUUUUACUUGUGUUCAUUUACUCGUGUUCAUCGUCUAACUUGCAUCAUUUACUUAUUGUAAUUUGGGUAACUAUGCUUUCAUAUUUUGCGUAUUACCUCAUGUAAUUGUUUUCUUUAUAUACGCUAUUGUACAUAUAUAUUUGUACUUUACAUUAAAGUCAAUUUCAUUUCAUAUAUAUAUACAUUGUUAACCUUAUGUUAUUUUAUACAUGUGUUGUCUUAAAUUUAUUAUUGUAGUUUAUUACAUGGUCCUAUAUAAUAUAUUUUCUCAAUUAUUAUUAUAUACAUAUAUGUUUAUAGAUAUCUAUACUUGAUAUCUAUAUAUAUAUUAUUAAAUCUAUGUAUUUUAUGCAUGUAGUUUUUCUCUUUUUUCAUAUAUGUAAGUAUAUUCUUCAAUUCAUUAUAUAAUUUAUAAUAAAAUCAGUUUUAGCUUGCAUAUAUUUCUAUGUUUUUUACAAAUAAUUAUUUUUUAAAAAAAGGGGGGUUAUUUAUAUAUAUAUAAUUUGUAGAUCCAUUGCAUUUUUGAAGAUUAUAUCGUACUAUAUAUUUUUAUUAUUACCGUUUUUAAUAUAUUUUACACAUACUUUAAAUUAUUAUUCUAUACAUCCUCGUUUUUUUUUUAAAAAUCAAUAUUAUUCUACGUUUUGGUAUGAUUUUCGAUUUAAACAUUCAUUUUAUAAUAUUUUUUAAAAUGAUUAAGCGUAUAUCCCUAGUUUUUCCUUUUUUACAAAUAAAUUUUAAAUGCACCAAUUCAUUAAUUUGCAUGUCAUAAAGAUUUUUGGUUCAUUAGAUCGCAUUUGUUCCGACAUCGUCUUAUACCACUUUGACUUCUAAAUUCUAUUUUGUUUUGCAUACGCUCUUUUGGUUGCUUUAUAUAUGUACAUUCCUUGCGUGGCAUCCACCUUAUUGAACUGUUAAUUACUCAUCAUAUAUGAUUGAAAUUAGGCUAUAAUUCCUAGAUUAAUUAUAUUUAAUUGCUUGUUCUGCUAGUUGAUUCAUUAAGUAUUGUAUCUCGUAUGUGUAUAUUACCUCAUUCAUCGUUUUCCAUUUGAUUUUCGAAAUGCGGUUUUAUAAAAUCCAAAUUUUAUGAUUAAUCUCGUACUAUUUCAAAUUGAAUUAAUACGUCUUAAGCUAGCUCUAUAAUCAUUCAUUCAAAAAUUCUUUAAAAACGAAGGCAAGAUUCGAUGUUUGGCAAUUCGUGGAAUCGUGCCCUAACGUGUUGGGUUGCGAUUUCGCGUUUGCUCAAAAUAAUCGAAUAUCACUUCGAAAUUUCACUCACGCCUUUUAAAAUUCCUCAAAACGAAGACGAGGUUUGAUAUUUAGCAAUUCGCAGAAUCGUGCCCUAACGUGUUGGGUUGCAAUUUUGCGUUUGUUCAAAAUAAUCGGGCUUCCCUUCAAAAUUCCAUUCAUAUCUCCUAAAAUUUUUUAAAUGAAGGCAAUGUUCGACGUUUGAUAAUUUGAGAAUCAUGCUCUAUCGCGUUGGGUUGUGGUUCCUGGUUUGCUCAAAAUGAUCGAACAUUCCUUUACAUUCUCACUCAUGUUUAUAAAAAAAAUACUUAAAAACGAAAACGAUGUUCAAUGUUUGGCGAUUUGAGAAUCGUGCCCUAUCGUGCUGGGUUGCGCUUUUUCAUUGGUCUGAAACAAUUGAAGAUCCCUUCAGAAUUUCCCUCGCACUUUCUAAAAUCUUUUAAAAUAAAGGCGAUGUUCGAUGUUUGGCGAUUUGAGAAUCGAGCCCUAUCAUGCUGGGUUGCGCUUUCUCAUUUGCCCAAAAUAAUCGAAUAUCUCCUCGAAAUUUUCACACGUAUUUUAUAAAGUAAGGCAAUGGUCAAUAUUUAGAAAUUCGAAGAAUCGUACCCUACUGUGCUGGGUUUCGAUUUUUCGUUGGACUAAAUAGUUGAGCAUCAUUCUGUAAUUCUCAAAUUAUAUACCUUCGGGCAUCGAAACAAGAAAUUUUGGCAACCAAGUCGGAUCACUCAAACGUUAUAAAAGGAACCACAUUUCAAAAAACUUUUAAUUUUAGACAUAAGGACAGUAUUUAAUUGACUUGGUACCAAUUUUGGGCGUAGUGAGGGUGCUAAUCCUUCCUCAUGCGUAACCGACUCCCGAACCUGUUUUCUCAAAAGUUCGUAGACCAAAAUUAUUGUUUUAAUAAACCAAAAAUGUUUAUUUAAACUAACCUCAUUUUUAGGUGAUUCGAUCACACCAAAAUAAAAGAUCGGUGGCGACUCCAUAUUUUCAUUUUCCAAAAAGUCGAUUCCACCAUUUUUCAUUAAAAUAAUUUUUUUUUAAAAUCGUGGGAUGGUUUCGACAGCUUGGCGACUCCGGUGGGGAUUUGAACUUGAGAGUCGAGCCAUAAAAAUCGAUUAUUUACUGUCCUUUUGUUAAAAAACCGAAAAUUUAUUUUAAAAAUCAUGUAUAUUUCGAUUGCAUUUGAUUGUAUGUUUGUGCGGGCCUUGUAGAAUAGCACUGCAUUUCAUUGCAUGACCACUGUGGUUACACCUUCUAAGUGGAAGUAAGAAGCUACGCUUUCGUGAGGUUUUCACCUCCGCAUGGGCUAGUGGAUUGCUUCCGGGGUACAUCCGUACCUAUGAUUUCGUGAGAUUUUCAUCUCUGCAUGGUCAUAGGGAAAUGUAUCCCCUCGAACCGAACUCGAUCUAUAUGAGCUUAUAAUGGGUGAGGAUUGAGGAAUCUGCUGGUUCGGGUACCCAUUUUCCUAGAACUAAACCACAUAUAGUGAACCUUAGGAGCUAUCCUUGGGUGGAGCCGCGUCGAACCUUAGUACUUACCCGUACAUGCGUUAUAAUCACCGUUUAUGUGCUUGCAUUCUAUUGCUAUUAUUUGAUACUAACCGAUGUUUUGUUUUGAUUGUCUUUUUUGCAUGACAUUGCAUAUUAAAGGAGGCGUUAAUCUACAUUCAAUUACUAAGUUAGAAAAUUUGACAUGGAGAAUGAAUUUUUUAGUAAAGUCGAGGAUAAUGCGGCCGUUCGUGCUUGGUCGGAGAGGCUACAAUCUGAGAGAGGGGAUAGCUUGGCAGAAGGGUAUGUGUCGGAGCUGUAGGAUUUCACUCGCGUCAAUGUAGUACAGAAUAAGCUGCAAUAGUUGAGAGACAUUUGGGUUAGUUGGGAUGAAAGGAUCAAGCAGUUGUUUUACCAAAGUUAUGGUGACAUAUCCUACCUGCUAGACAUUAAAGUGGAUAAGCAUUUGUUCCGAGCCUUGGUGCAGUUUUGGAAUUCCGCAUAUAAGUGUUUUACCUUUGGAGAAGUGGAUUUGGUACCUACCAUGGAGGAAUAUACUACGCUGCUUAGAUGUCCAAAGAUUCAGGUCUGGAAGACUUAUGCCCGGGUUUUUAGUAAUCAGGCUUUCGUGAAGAAACUGAUGAGCAUUUCUGGGAUGAGCGAGUCUUGGGUCACUGCUCGGAUUCAGCAGAAAGGAGAUAGCAAAUGUGUCCCUUGGGAGAAUUUGCGAGAUUUGAUCUUGACUCAUCUAGACGAAAGAAAGAGGGUCGAUAUAUUUGCCUUAAGCAUCUACGGAUUAGUGAUCUUUCCUACGGCUUUGAGGCACGUGGACGAGGCGGUCAUUGACUUGUUUGAUCGUCUUGAAAAGGGAAUCACACCGGUACCGGCAAUAUUGGCAGAAACGUUCAGAUCUUUGAGCUUAUGUCAGAAGACGGGUGAGGGGCGAUUUAUUGGAUGUGCUCAACUAUUGAUGGUAUGGUUUCAUGGGAACUUUUGGAAGGUAGACAAGGUUUCCUAUCGAGUCUUUUCCAAAGGUUAUUCCCCUUUGAAAGAAGAGGUAGCUAUACAGAGGAGAAAGGAUAUCUCAGAAGAGAAGUGGAUGGAUAUUUUUCAGAACCUUAAGGAGGAGGAUAUCGAGUGGAGUGCUUAUUGGAUGGUUCCUGAUGAGAUCAUGUACCAAUGUGGUAACUUUGAUUGGGUGCCAUUGUUAGGAAUUUGGGGAGCUACCGGGUAUACUCCGUUGAUAGCCUUGAGGCAAUACAAGUCGAGGCAGUUUGUACCCACGACCUAUGGACUUGCUCAGAGUGAAUUCUCGUUUAAAGGUGCUCACUAUUAAAAGAGAGUUCGGGAGUUAUCGGAUGCUUGGAAGCAAACUUGUUAGAUGAAGAGGUUAGCCGUCGGUUCUAUGGUAACGCCCGAGUACAGCAAGUGGUUUAAGAAGAGGAUUAAUGAUAAUAUUCCUAGGCCAAGCUUAGAGAAUGCUCGGCCUAUCGGGGAACAAUUACAAGUCGCCCCAUCAGAAUUGGAGAUUAUAAAACAAGAUUUCGAGAAGAAGAGUUUGGAGUUUGGUAAGAAGAUCGAACAAUUAGAGGAAGAGAAGAUGCACCUAAGAUUAGAGGCUGAUGUCCAAAGGUCAGAGGCUGAGAAGUGGAGAAAAGGAAAAACUAAGGCUGAAGAAGAUCUAGACAGUUUGAAAAUGGACUACAAAAAGUUACGCCUAUCUAUGAGGAUUGCGGGUUUAGGUAAGACUUCCGAACAAUGGCGCCAUGAAAUUCGGGAAGAAAAAACCAAUACCGACCGGUGGGAAAGGAAAUUUCGAGAAACUCAAGCACGAAACGAAGAUUUGGAGAAAAGUCUAUCAGAAAGCAGAAAUGAGCAAGGGGAAUUAAGGGCUAGAGUGGCAGAACUCGAGAAGUCCCUACAUCAGUACCGAAACCGCAACACCGUGACAGAAUUGAGGGCAAGCUUGAGCAAAAUACAAGAAAUGAAAGGAAGAAUAGAAGAGUUAGAGGCGUCACUGCAAAAUUGUGAUAUGCGAAUCCAGUUUUUUGAGGCAAACGAGGAUCGUUGGAAGGAGCAACUUCACCAUGCGCAAGGCCAAGUUAGAAAUAGGGAUUACCUUAUGGGAGAGGCCAUAACCCAGAUCCGGGAGGUAGCGGACUACUUGCAAACUCUAGCGGUUCAGGCAGACACACUAAGCGUGAAAUAUGAGUUAGAGUCGGAGCGCGAACAAGAGCUGGCCUCAUUGCUUAGAAAAAUUAGGACUUUGAGCGUUAGAGCAAAAUUAUAUUUGUAACUCGACUUUAUGUAAAAGAUUUUAUUUUCAAGUAAAAUUUUCUAAGGGCUGUUGAAUCAAAAUUGAUGCCUCCUUUACAUUCAUGCAUUUGCAUUACAUCAUAUCAUUAUGCAUUAAAGGCCAUUAGAGUUUUCUAAUUAAUUAACUAAAAAUUAUUUCAAUAACCUGGAAACCAAUGAAAACCAACCACGCACCCCUACAGUACAAGGAAAAAAUCAAUGGAUAAGAGACUCGAGAAAUUAGAGCGGAUGCAAAAAGACAUGCAAGAACAAAUACAGUCUCAGAUGCAAGAGCAGCUAGCCAAGAUUCAGUGAGAGAUGAAAGAGCAAAUGAUGGAGUCCCAGAGGGAAAUGAUGAGUCAGUUAUCCCAAUUGUUGUUGGGAGGAACGGAUAAGGGAAAGGGCCCCAUGGACAAAGUUGAAGAAGCUAAUGAGGAUCCUCAAUACCCCCUGGCUUCACUCUGACACAUGUACCGGUGAAGCUCGAGAUUAAUCUACCGAAGCCAUCUGUCACGAUCAUACCCCAGCAGGUUCAGGCUGGAGCUUCAAUACUGAUGAAUUUCCAAACCGGCUUAGGCUCCAACUUUGUCAACAACCCGAACUAUCCGCCCAUUCCCGAUUUGGAUGAAAUUGCUGAAGAAGAAAAGGCGAGGAUGGAUUCGCAAAAACAAUUGGAAAAACGGUGUAGAUGGCUCGAAGAGAAAUUUAAAGCCAUGGAAAGCGCGGAUCAUCAUCAAGGGAUUAAUGCCAAGGACCUAAGUUUAGUCCCAGAUUUAGUCCUUCCCCCCAAAUUCAAAAUGCCCAAGUUCGAGAAAUACAAUGGAACAAGUUGCCCUGAAGCUCAUAUCAUUAUGUUCUGCAGGCGAAUGACGGGAUAUGUUAACAAUGACCAGCUAUUAAUCCACUACUUUCAAGAUAGUUUGGUCGGGGCGGCGUCUAAGUAGUACAACCAAUUAAGCCGCUCUAAGAUUAACUUGUGGAAGGACCUGGCCCAAGCCUUUAUGAAGCAAUACAAUCACGUGACAGACAUGACCCCUGACAGAAUCACUCUCCAGAAUAUGGAGAAGAAAUCGAAUGAAAGCUUCAGGCAGUACGUAUAAAGAUGGAGGGAGGUGGCCAUACAAGUUCAGCCGCCACUUCUAGAAAAGGAGAUAACGAUACUCUUUAUAAAUACCUUGAAGGCCCCUUUUAUCACUCAUAUGUUGGGAAGCGCCACCAAGAGCUUCUCCGACAUAGUGAUGAUGGGAGAAAUGAUCGAAAAUGCUGUAAAGAGCGGCAAGAUAGAAUCGAGAGAGAGUGCUAGGAAGUUAGCCCCGAGGAGAAAAGACAAUGAAGUGAACAACACGAGCACAUUCAACAAGGGGCAGCCCAAGUCAAUUACCGUAAAUCAACCCAAAAUGGUGACUACCAAUCAACAAAGUUCUGUAAGGCAAGAAUCCAAUGCGAGGAAGAACAUAGAAAGGCCACAAUACACCCCUAUACCCAUGUCCUAUAGAGAGUUGUACCAGAACCUGUUCAACGCUCAUGUGGUAUCCCCUUUCUACCUGGAGCCACUGCAGUCCCCGUAUUCCAAAUAGUAUGACGCGAAUGCCCAAUGUGAGUACCACGCGGGAAUCACCGGGCACUCAAUCGAAAAUUGCACUGCGUUUAAGAAAGUGGUCGAAAGACUCAUUAAGGUGGGAAUCAUGAGAUUUGAUGACCCAGCCACGCCCAAUUUAGCAGGAAACCCACUCCCUAAUCAUACCGACCAAGGAGUGAAUGGGAUAAGUGAAGGCUUGAACAAGAAGAC